UACAGAGGGUGCAAGCGUUAAUCGGAAUUACUGGGCGUAAAGCGCGCGUAGGUGGUUUGUUAAGUUGGAUGUGAAAUCCCCGGGCUCAACCUGGGAACUGCAUCCAAAACUGGCAAGCUAGAGUAGGGCAGAGGGUGGUGGAAUUUCCUGUGUAGCGGUGAAAUGCGUAGAUAUAGGAAGGAACACCAGUGGCGAAGGCGACCACCUGGGCUCAUACUGACACUGAGGUGCGAAAGCGUGGGGAGCAAACAGGA
This 254-nucleotide ribosomal RNA is filed under the name uncultured Pseudomonas sp. RNAcentral's name for it is "partial 16S ribosomal RNA". It matches the Rfam family "Bacterial small subunit ribosomal RNA", at positions 524 to 777 of the family's 1533-position model. The record is from RNAcentral. Lineage: Bacteria; Pseudomonadati; Pseudomonadota; Gammaproteobacteria; Pseudomonadales; Pseudomonadaceae.